AUAGCUACCAUGUCAUGUAGGGUCUUAAUAUGUGGUUUUAAUGGGUUAAUGAUCAUGUGAGUGGUUCCUACCCAAUCUGGGGAGGUGAGCAUGUCUUGUAGGUAAAAUGUCCCCAAUGCAUUAUGUGAGCCACCUCCCUUCCAGUACAUUCCCAUCACAUAUUCCCCUGCAUCCCUUGGGCUAGGGUGUUCUAUAUUCAGGGUAAGUUUAAUGGGAGUUGAUCCUAUGGGUUUACUCAGCGUCAUUCUAGAAAGUAAGGGCUUCCCGUCUUUGUCAAGUCUGUCCAGUGCAACUUGAGGUAUGUAGCCCCAUGGUCUACCUGUGUUCCACCCGGCAGCUUUCCAUGAACUACAAUGGUGUCCCCAAACUCCUCCAGUCACACAAAUGUAUGGAUCCUUUUUGUUAGGUAUGUCCUUGUAUAUGGCUGCAUAUUGUGUUUGUGGAAAUGUACAAGUAACUAUGUCACAGUAGUCAAAGGUGUAUGUAGCUACAUCAGUAUUAGAAGAAUUGUACCAGAAAGUGUAAACAUGAUCAUCUUUGGUUAUGGCCACUUGUUGGGCCCAGGCAAAGUGUAGCAGCAUAAGAAAACACAAGACACAUAAUAAAUUCAUAUUUCAACAGGAUCAGUUUCUUCUGGAGCAGGCACUUUCUUGCAAUGUGAAGCG
Pelobates cultripes (western spadefoot toad) is the source of this 665-nucleotide non-coding RNA. The record is from the annotation of a GenBank genome assembly. Lineage: Eukaryota; Metazoa; Chordata; Amphibia; Anura; Pelobatidae.